AGAGUUUGAUCCUGGCUCAGGACGAACGCUGGCGGCGUGCCUAAUACAUGCAAGUCGAGCGAGCGGAACUAACAGAUUUACUUCGGUAAUGACGUUAGGAAAGCGAGCGGCGGAUGGGUGAGUAACACGUGGGGAACCUGCCCCAUAGUCUGGGAUACCACUUGGAAACAGGUGCUAAUACCGGAUAAGAAAGCAGAUCGCGUGAUCAGCUUUUAAAAGGCGGCGUAAGCUGUCGCUAUGGGAUGGCCCCGCGGUGCAUUAGCUAGUUGGUAAGGUAAAGGCUUACCAAGGCGAUGAUGCAUAGCCGAGUUGAGAGACUGAUCGGCCACAUUGGGACUGAGACACGGCCCAAACUCCUACGGGAGGCAGCAGUAGGGAAUCUUCCACAAUGGACGCAAGUCUGAUGGAGCAACGCCGCGUGAGUGAAGAAGGUUUUCGGAUCGUAAAGCUCUGUUGUUGGUGAAGAAGGAUAGAGGUAGUAACUGGCCUUUAUUUGACGGUAAUCAACCAGAAAGUCACGGCUAACUACGUGCUAGCAGCCGCGGUAAGAACCUAGGU
RNAcentral lists this ribosomal RNA (558 nucleotides) under uncultured bacterium. RNAcentral describes it as "bacterial SSU rRNA". It matches the Rfam family "Bacterial small subunit ribosomal RNA", at positions 8 to 532 of the family's 1533-position model. The record is from RNAcentral.